AACGAACGCUGGCGGCAUGCUUAACACAUGCAAGUCGAACGGACUUAUGGGGCUUGCUCCAUAAGUUAGUGGCAGACGGGUGAGUAACGCGUGGGAAUGUACCUUUUGGUUCGGAACAACCACGGGAAACGUGUGGCUAAUACCGGAUAAGCCCGUGAGGGAAAGAUUUAUCGCCAAAAGAGCAGCCCGCGUUAGAUUAGGUAGUUGGUGGGGUAAUGGCCCACCAAGCCGACGAUCUAUAGCUGGUCNGAGAGGA
This 256-nucleotide ribosomal RNA is filed under the name uncultured bacterium. Its description in RNAcentral is "partial 16S ribosomal RNA". It matches the Rfam family "Bacterial small subunit ribosomal RNA", at positions 29 to 300 of the family's 1533-position model. The record is from RNAcentral.